GCCGGGCAUGGUGGUGUGUGCCUGUAAUCCCAGCUACUUGGGAGGCUGAGGCAGGAGAAUCGCUUGAACCUGGGAGGUGGAGGCUGCAGUGAGCCUAGAUUGUGCCACUGCACUCCAGCCUGGGCAACAGAGCAAGACUCUGUCUCAA
This 148-nucleotide non-coding RNA is filed under the name Nomascus leucogenys (northern white-cheeked gibbon). The record is from Rfam by way of RNAcentral. Lineage: Eukaryota; Metazoa; Chordata; Mammalia; Primates; Hylobatidae.